CAAAAGCUUGGUCCUGACUUUACUAUCAGCUUUGGCCAAAUUUACACAUGCAAGUAUCCGCACCCCUGUGAGAAUGCCCUACCGUUCCCCCUUUCCUCCCGGGAACAAGGAGCUGGUAUCAGGCACAACCUAUUGUUUAGCCCACGACACCUUGCUCAGCCACACCCCCAAGGGAACUCAGCAGUGAUAAACAUUAAGCCAUUAGUGAAAACUUGACUUAGUUAAGGCCAACAGAGCCAGCAAAACUCGUGCCAGCCGCCGCGGUUAUACGAGGGGCUCAAGUUGAUGGCCCUCGGCGUAAAGAGUGGUUAAGAAAUAUAACACUAAAGCCAAACACCUUCAUAGCUGUCAUACGCACUUGAAGACAGGAAGACCUUCCACGAAAGUGGCUUUAAAAACUCUGAACCCACGAAAGCUAGGAUACAAACUGGGAUUAGAUACCCCACUAUGCCUAGCCAUAAACAAAAGUGGCAAACCCACCUCUGCCACUCGCCAGGGAACUACGAGCAUAAGCUUAAAACCCAAAGGACUUGGCGGUGCUUUAGACCCCCCUAGAGGAGCCUGUUCUAGAACCGAUAACCCCCGUUCAACCUCACCCUCCCUUGUUGUCCCCGCCUAUAUACCGCCGUCGUCAGCCUACCCUAUGAAGGACAUAAAGUAAGCAAAAUUGGCACAGCCCAAAACGUCAGGUCGAGGUGUAGCGAAUGAGAGGGGAAGAAAUGGGCUACAUUUACUGAUACAGUAUACACGAACGAUGCAUUGAAAUCAGACAUCUGAAGGAGGAUUUAGCAGUAAGAAGGAAAAUAGAGCGUUCCCCUGAAACUGGCCCUGAAGCGCGCACACACCGCCCGUCACUCUCCCCGAGCUUAAAUUUUAAACAUAAAUAAACCACAACAACUGUAAAGGGGAGGCAAGUCGUAACAUGGUAAGUGUACCGGAAGGUGCGCUUGGAAAAAC
RNAcentral lists this non-coding RNA (957 nucleotides) under Eleotris acanthopomus (sleeper goby). Its description in RNAcentral is "Eleotris acanthopoma (sleeper goby) 12S ribosomal RNA". It matches the Rfam family "Bacterial small subunit ribosomal RNA". Lineage: Eukaryota; Metazoa; Chordata; Actinopteri; Gobiiformes; Eleotridae. The record is from RNAcentral.